AUUUCUUUCUGAAGUUCAGAUUUGAGUUUGAUUCAAAGUAAUUUUGCUGGAUUAUUGCUCUGUAUCAGUUUUACUCCUUAGUUUCUAGCUUUUAAUCCAUCCCCUUUGGUUUUGGCAUUUGUUGGCCUGUGAGUUAUGUUUGUACCUGUGAUUUGUGCUAAAUUUUACUACUUUCUCUAUCAAAUAUCUUGAACUAAAUCUCUUACUCUUUAAUAUCAAUUAACCCACAGAAGAAUCGGAAAUUUUCGAGCUAGGGUUUUGAUGGAUGAAAUUGGAAAAUUUUAUUAUUUUCUAUCUGUUUCUUCUUCUUUUUUGUUUCAAAUUCAUGAAAACGGAGUGAAUUAAUUACAGAUUUUCGAGUUAGGAUUUCGAUGGAUGAAAUUGGGAAUUUUUUUGUUUUUUGGAGAUAAUUGAAAUCAAGAAAACAAAUUCAGUUUCUUUACUUGCUUGAAUUUAUGUUUUUAUACCAAAUACCAGUUGCCUAAUUUAUGUGGUCCAUGUAAAGCAUAUAGGAGAGUAGUGAAGGCCAAGAGUGCACUAAAUACCCUGCCUCAUAUUCAUUUCCAGUUGCCUUUUCUAAGAGCUCUUUAUGUUGUAAAAGGAGAAAGAAAUCCAUAUGUUGUAAUAUCUAUCUGCUAAUGCUUUUUCUUUAUAACUGUACUAAUAGAACAAGUAGUAGUUUCGGUAUAAAAAUUAGGUGAAAUUUUGAAUAGCUCCCUACUAAUUCUAUUGAUUUAGUUGUCGAAUGAUUUAAAUACUUACUGUCAUAAUUGGAUUCGAUAUUAGAUAGGUAACUUACACUUUUAGUCUAAGAAAAACUUUUAAAAGAGGAACAAACCUGUAGCUAGAACACACAACCUUGAGAGCAAGAACACACAAUUCUCAGAGGGCCUAUGGAGAUCGGAGAAACAAAGUAUAAAGAAAUUGUGUGUUUUUGCAGUGUUUUAAUUUAACUUUUGUAUCGUAUACGUGUCUUUCAUUAUGCAACUGAAUAGUCCACCACGUAGCAUAUCACUCUACCUCUUGAGCAACACUUAGUUUUGAGUAUUUAAAACAAGUACACUUAUACCAAAUCCAGGCCACUCUGGCAGAAAUAAUGGAUGCAAUGUACUCUGACUAUCCUUUUUUAUGAAGCUAUUUAAUCUUAGAACACGUAAAGAUUUAAGAGCAUAAUCUACUGAAGCUUGAUGCAAAAACCUCAAAGAAAACUUUAUUGUAUCUUACACUUUAUUAUCUCACCUUGACCAAUUAAGCUACUACUUCUCAGAGCAGUGAACCUGCAAAAGUUAGAAUAUUGAACUAUCACUGCUAUCAUGAAAAGUGUGCAAAUCUUCAUACCAAAGCAAAAGAGGUAUGCGGAAUGCAAAUGUCCAGAUAUUAACUCAAAUGCCCACUAACUUAAAACUCUGUGUUUACUUUCACUUUCCUUACACUUGGUACUAUAACAGUAAGCCUAACCAUUCUCCCCCUACGCAACGUGGCUUUAACCCUGCAACUGAGUAGACACGUAUCAUUGGCCACUUUUUGCUAUCUGUUCAUCGCCUUCUUCUGCCUCUCUAUCAUCUCUAUUUCAUCUUCCCAUGUUGUGAUUUUGCUGAUUUUGGUAUUUCAAGCAAUAUAUAAUGAAUUACCCAGUGGGCUAUGUUGGUUGCUCUUGGUGCUUUGAAUCCAGACCUGUUAGAGCUGACGAGACUAUUUCAGUUUGCGAAACCGAUUGGGGUUAGAGCUGACGAGACUGUUAGAUCAAGGAUGGUAUUCUGCAAUAUACGCAUCCAUCAUCCACUAAGUCAAAAGGCAUGCACAGAGAAAAAGCAGUACAGCAACAACUCACCACAAUCAAAGCGUAACACCGAGAAAGGGCAAAAACCAGAUCCAGGUUUUGGACAGCAGCAGUAGCGCGGGAGCCAGUCUUUAGUCCAGUGAGACACUGAGGCAUGCACGGAGAAAAAUCAGUACAACAACAAUUCACCACAAUCAAAGCGUAGCACCGAGAACGGGCAAAAACCAGGUUCCAAGGGAUUUCAAAAAUCAUAUUUCACGUGGUGGGACCAAUUGUUUCAACGAGAAAGUACCAGGAAUAUUAUGGCUAAAGAUGGGCCAAGAUGUACAAAGACAAAUUAUUUUUGAGGAAGCAAGUUAAGUUUUGAAUGAUAUUGUUGGGAGCAUAAGAAUUGUUAUGUCAUGUUGUGCGAAAGAGAAGGUCAUGGAAAUGUGUAGAAAACAGAGCCAAGAGCUAAGGACUAAUGAAUGCAAGAAAAAGUAAGAUUUCUUAAUUGCAAUGUUUUGCAGCUUGACAAGUUUUCCCUCCUAUGAUGAUCUAUAUUUAUGUCCCAAUCAAGCUCAUUCGCACCAAGUAUAGCCAUGGUGGUUGUGCUCUAAUAUGUGCUAUUUCGGACAAGAAAUCGGAAAAUUCAAGUGAUGAUUCUGGUAUUACACAAGACAUUCUGAAGGGAAAUUUUGAGCUAUAAUAUGCAAUCUUCAGGAAGCAUCAAGGCAGCUCAAGUACAAGAAUUGAAAGAAAAUUUGGAUAGCCAUAUCAUUUAUUAGUGUUUUGUGGAUCUUAAGGAAAAUGAAGGUCUACACAUGUCCGAAGCCACAAUUGAUGUUGUUAGAUUAGAUUAUUCUGUUUUAGUUCAAUUUGACGAUUUAUAUGAUGUAAUGUUGUGAUUUUGUCUUCAUUUAAUUUGAUGAAAUUUUUAUUC
Molecule: non-coding RNA, 2702 nt
Organism: Nicotiana tabacum (common tobacco)
Lineage: Eukaryota; Viridiplantae; Streptophyta; Magnoliopsida; Solanales; Solanaceae
Source: RefSeq, a predicted model, not a curated record